CUCUUCAUGACAUUGACAUCUAUCACUUAAUUUUCCAGUUGAUCUAGGAAUUGAAAAAAAAAAACCAUAAAAGAUACUGAAUCCUAAUAUUAACUGAGGCAAGGUGAUCCUAUAUUCCCAUAUUUAUUUAUUAUCAUGGAAGAGGUGUUGACUAGGCUAGUGAGAAAAAAAAUCAUAGAUGGCUACAUAGGUGUUUAUUCACAUCCCUGAGGUGCACCUUCGGUGUUGCAUUUGCUAUAUGCUAAUGAUAUUGUAAUCUUUGCUAAUGGAAGCAAAAGAUUGAUAAAAUCUUUAAUGGAGACCUUUCAGUUAUAUGAAAAAUGGAUGGGCCAGGUUACAAUAAAGAGAAGUUAGCUAUUUUCUUUGCUAAACAUUGUGGGGCAUCUCACAAGAAUGAGGUUCUUCGGUUAAGUUCUUACAGAGAGGGUUUUUUUCUAAUAACUUAUUUGGGGUGACAGUGGUGGUAGAAAGAUUGACUGCUCGUCAUCUAUAGCUUUUAGUGGAGAAAAUUCAAAAAAAAAAAAGAUUACAGGUUGGAAAAGGUAAC
RNAcentral lists this long non-coding RNA (547 nucleotides) under Olea europaea subsp. europaea. Lineage: Eukaryota; Viridiplantae; Streptophyta; Magnoliopsida; Lamiales; Oleaceae. The record is from RNAcentral.